RNAcentral lists this unclassified non-coding RNA (240 nucleotides) under soil metagenome. RNAcentral's name for it is "partial contains 5.8S ribosomal RNA, internal transcribed spacer 2, and large subunit ribosomal RNA". The record is from RNAcentral.
AAGACUAUAGACCUGCGGAGUACCUGCGGAGGGAUCAUUAUUGAAAAUAACUAUGGUGGGUUGUCGCUGGCUUUGUAAAGCAUGUGCACACCUGCUGUCUUUAUCUAUCCCAUUGUGCACUAUGUGUAGUUCUGGAAGGGGGAAGAUCACUCAAGCUCUUCAGGAGUUUUUGGGAUUAGGCCUACUUCCGGGUCUAUGUCUUUUUUCAUAAAUGCUGUAGUAUGUCAAAGAAUGUAGUCA